GUGCCAAGCAGCCGCGGUAACACCAGCGCUACGAGUGGCAAUCGUGUUUAUUGGGCCUAAAGCGUCCGUAGCCGGUUUAAUAAAUCUUUUGUGAAAUUAUUCGGCUUAACCGAAUAGCGUGCAGAAGACACUGUUAGACUAGGAACCGGAAGGAGUCAGAGGUAUUCCUUGGGGAGCGGUAAAAUGCUAUAAUCCUCGGAGGACCACCUGCGGCGAAGGCGUCUGACUAGUACGGAUUCGACGGUGAGGGACGAAAGCCAGGGGAGCAAACCGGAUUAGAUACGAGAAGUUUUCUUAAAAGUAAUAUCUGGACUUUUUCACAAGUUUGCAAGAAAUAUACUUUGUGAGAAUACAAAACAGAAUGUUAUGAUUACUAUCUCGCUAAUGACCCGAGUAGUCCUGGCCGUAAACGCUGCGAGCUAGGUGUUGCAUAAUCUAUUGGAUUAUGCAAUGUCGAAGCGAAGGUGUUAAGCUCGCCGCCUGGGAAGUAUAGUCGCAAGACCGAAACUUAAAGGAAUUGGCGGGGGAGCACUACAAGGGGUGCGGCGUGCGGUUUAAUCGAACUCAACGCCGAAAAUCUCACCAGCAGCGACGGCAGAAUGAAGGUCAGAUUGAAGGUCUUACCUGACAAGCCGAGAGGAGGUGCAUGGCCGUCGUCAGCUCGUGCCGUGAGGUGUCCAGUUAAGUCUGGCAACGAGCGAGACCUAUACCUACAAUUGCCAUCGACUGGUUUACCAGGAUUGGGCACAAUGUAGGGACUGCCUUGGAAACAAGGAGGAAGGUAUAGUCUACGGCAGGUCUGUGAUGCCC
This 810-nucleotide ribosomal RNA is filed under the name uncultured eukaryote. RNAcentral describes it as "bacterial SSU rRNA". It matches the Rfam family "Archaeal small subunit ribosomal RNA", at positions 455 to 1156 of the family's 1478-position model. The record is from RNAcentral.